AUAAUCACUCCCAAGAACUGCCAGUCAGUUGAAAUGCACUUCAACUCUGAUAAAAUGGCCAAAACUAUUGGAAAGCUGGCUGAAAAGACCCCUGAAGUGGGCGAAAUUGUCAGUGGUUUACUUGUGAAGAAAGGUUUCACUUACCAGAUCAUGGCACCUGAUGAUCUCCAUGUCUUUUCUCAGCUAUCCACUGCAAAUGUCACACAGAGAAUAACUAUCCCCUAUUCAGGUGCUUUUGCUGUUAUACAACACAGGCUUAAGCAGAUCUAUGAAAGUGUAGAGUCCUCAACAGAUGAGGAAUCUGGUGUACCAACUUUGCGGGUGCAUGAGCGAGUGAUGGUGAAGCAGG
Molecule: unclassified non-coding RNA, 349 nt
Filed under: Hevea brasiliensis (rubber tree)
Lineage: Eukaryota; Viridiplantae; Streptophyta; Magnoliopsida; Malpighiales; Euphorbiaceae
Source: RNAcentral